Non-coding RNA from Jatropha curcas, 594 nucleotides. NCBI's taxonomy places the organism in Eukaryota, Viridiplantae, Streptophyta, Magnoliopsida, Malpighiales, Euphorbiaceae. The record is from RefSeq and is a predicted model, not a curated record.
AAAACCUGGAAAGGUUCAACUUGGGCUGCAAGUAAAACGACAGCUCCACAGAAAGUCUGGAAUAAGAGUUUAAAAUGAAAAUUCUGUGGAAAAUUAUGGCCUUGAUAAGGAUAAUUAUCUACCACAUAUUGUUUAUAAAAAGGACCAUAAUAUAUUGCUGCAGGAGAAGUUCCAAGCCAUUCGGCUUUGUUUAAGAUAUGGCUAAUAAUGCUCAUCACAAGGUUUUCAUUGCUCUCUUUAUAUUUAUCUUCAUCAUUUUUGCUCUGAUACAGCCGUCAACCUCCGCUCGUCAGCUUCUAGUCAUCACGACCAGGAGGACCAAGAAGAUACGGAUAAUGAAUCGAUAUCCCUUCCGAGGCUUACGUGAGAAGCUCAAUAUAAUGUGCAAAUGAUAUACUGGGAAUGAUAUAUAAACAACUUAACUAGUAUGUUUUAUUUUAUUUUCCUUGGUCUUUUUCAUCGGGUUUGUCUGUUAAAUUCGACAAUUGUAUUAGAAAUAAGUCAAUUACAUCAGUCACUUGCCUUGGUGUGCAAGUGUGUUUUGACUUUCGAUAUUAUUGCCAAUAAAUUUUAAAUAUUUUGUUUUCGCAUAAA